This 206-nucleotide unclassified non-coding RNA is filed under the name Hevea brasiliensis (rubber tree). The record is from RNAcentral. Lineage: Eukaryota; Viridiplantae; Streptophyta; Magnoliopsida; Malpighiales; Euphorbiaceae.
GGUUACAGUCACAGUGUCAAAUUGUUGGUCAAAAGGAGAAGAAGUAGCACCGAUUGGGACAUACAGAGGAGUAGAGAUGAAAGGAGCUCCGGUAACAACAACAGACGGUGGCUGUUGGUGAUGGUGUGGUCUCGUUUCUGGUGAUUCCUCAAGUGGGUCUUUUGGGGAAGGUGAAAGUUGCUGCUGUUGCGAUUGUUGGGUUUGCU